This 253-nucleotide ribosomal RNA is filed under the name uncultured bacterium. RNAcentral describes it as "partial 16S ribosomal RNA". It matches the Rfam family "Bacterial small subunit ribosomal RNA", at positions 524 to 776 of the family's 1533-position model. The record is from RNAcentral.
CACGUAGGAGGCGAGCGUUGUCCGGAAUCAUUGGGCGUAAAGAGCGCGCAGGCGGCUUGGCAAGUCGGGUGUGAAAUCCCGGGGCUCAACCCCGGGACUGCAUUCGAUACUGUCAGGCUAGAGGUAGGUAGGGGAGAUCGGAAUUCCUGGUGUAGCGGUGAAAUGCGCAGAUAUCAGGAGGAACACCGGUGGCGAAGGCGAGGCUCUGGCUGAUUUCUGACGCUGAGACGCGAAAGCUAGGGGAGCAAACGGG